This 171-nucleotide ribosomal RNA is filed under the name Eviota latifasciata (brown-banded dwarfgoby). Its description in RNAcentral is "partial 12S rRNA". Lineage: Eukaryota; Metazoa; Chordata; Actinopteri; Gobiiformes; Gobiidae. The record is from RNAcentral.
CACCGCGGUUACACGGGGGGCCCAAGUCGAUGUUUUCCGGCGUAAAGGGUGGUUAAUAAUAAUCUUUCAACUAAAGCCGAACAACUUCAAGGCUGUCCUAAAGCAUAUGAAGUAUGGAAGCUCAUCCACGAAAGUGGCUUUAAGAAUUAUGACGCCACGGAAGCUAGGGAA